CUGCUCCGGGGAGAUGAAGUGGAUGUGGGAGUCCACGGCGCCGGCGGUGACGAUCUUGCCCUCGCCGGCGAUCACCUCGGUGCUCACGCCGAUGACAAUGUCCACGUCGUCCUGGAUGUCCGGGUUACCGGCCGCGCCGAUCUUGAUAAUGCGCCCGUCCUUGAUGGCGAUGUCCGCCACGUAAAUGCCGGUGUGGUCGAUGAUCAGCGGGCCCGUGAUCACCACGUCGGGCACCUCGGAGUUGCCGGCCCAGCUGGAGUUCUGGCCCAUGCCGUCGCG
This 279-nucleotide small RNA is filed under the name Corynebacterium bouchesdurhonense. RNAcentral describes it as "5' ureB small RNA". It matches the Rfam family "5' ureB small RNA". Lineage: Bacteria; Bacillati; Actinomycetota; Actinomycetes; Mycobacteriales; Corynebacteriaceae. The record is from RNAcentral.